Non-coding RNA from Calidris pugnax (ruff), 407 nucleotides. The record is from the annotation of a RefSeq genome assembly. NCBI's taxonomy places the organism in Eukaryota, Metazoa, Chordata, Aves, Charadriiformes, Scolopacidae.
AUGCGCCUCAGAUAUCUCGUCCUCGCUGCCUUCCUGAGGCAACCACUGGGCACCAUGGGACAGACCACUGUCACCCAGCAAGAAGGAGAAGUUACAGUGACUUCCAAAUAACCUGCACAUACCAGAGCUCCUACUUUCAGGGCUUGCUCUGGUACCAGCAGAGGAAAGGCCAAGCUCCCCAGUUGGUCUCCUAUCAGGCAAGAGCUGGCCGCAAGUGCAGUGGCCGUUUCACCACUGAGCUGAAAACCACGGGGAAAUACAGCCUCCUGCAGCUGGAGGAAGUCGAGGUCUCUGACAGUGCCUUGUACCUCUGUGCUGGCUAUCCAGAGCACCAGGAAUUCCCUUCCACACAGGCUUCUGAGCUGCUGACCCCUCAGAACACCCAGCAGCACCGGGCUCCUCUCUAA